Molecule: long non-coding RNA, 237 nt
Organism: Mus musculus (house mouse)
Lineage: Eukaryota; Metazoa; Chordata; Mammalia; Rodentia; Muridae
Product: predicted gene, 33695
Exons: 2
Source: RefSeq, a predicted model, not a curated record
GCCUCCCGGACACAGGCCUGGUACAGAGCCUCCGCCUCAUGCGCCUGGGGAAACCAAGGCUUAAGUGGUUGGGAGUUAGAGAGAGGUCCAAGUACAUGAGCAGAAAGUUACGUGAUCGAUCGAUCAUCCCAUCUUUUCUUCAGGAACCCAGACAUCCUGAGGUUUUAUUCUUGAGAAACACCCAUCCUGACGAUUCUAUUGGUGUACUUUUUCAAUUAAAAAUUUUUAUUAUCGCUG